Molecule: ribosomal RNA, 194 nt
Filed under: uncultured bacterium
Lineage: Bacteria
Description: partial 16S ribosomal RNA
Rfam family: Bacterial small subunit ribosomal RNA
Source: RNAcentral
UGGAGGCUGAAACCCGCCUCCAUGAAGUUGGAUUCGCUAGUAAUCGCGCAUCAGCCAUGGCGCGGUGAAUACGUUCCCGGGCCUUGUACACACCGCCCGUCAAGCCAUGGGAGCCGGGGGUGCCUGAAGUUCGUUACCGCAAGGAUCGACCUAGGGCAAAACUGGUGACUGGGGCUAAGUCGUAACAAGGUAAC